This 468-nucleotide ribosomal RNA is filed under the name uncultured bacterium. Its description in RNAcentral is "partial 16S ribosomal RNA". It matches the Rfam family "Bacterial small subunit ribosomal RNA", at positions 28 to 507 of the family's 1533-position model. The record is from RNAcentral.
GACGAACGCUGGCGGCGUGCUUAACACAUGCAAGUCGAACGGCAAGGCCCUGCUUUUGUGGGGUGCUCGAGUGGCGAACGGGUGCGUAACACGUGAGUAACCUGCCCUUGACUUUGGGAUAACUUCAGGAAACUGGGGCUACUACCGGAUCGGAUCUCCUGCUCCAUGGUGGGGGUUGGAACGUUUCGGCGGUUGGGGAUGGACUGGCGGCUUAUCAGCUUGUUGGUGGGGUAGUGGCUUACCAAGGCUUUGACGGGUAGCCGGCCUGAGAGGGUGACCGGCGACAUGGCGACUGAGAUACGGCGCAGACGGCUACGGGAGGCAGCAGGGGGGAAUAUUGCACAAUGGGCGGAAGCCGGAUGCAGCGACGCCGCGUGCGGGAUGACGGUCUGCGGGGUGUAAACCGCUGUCGCCUGUGACGAAGCUGGAGUGACGGUAAUGGGUAAAGAAGCACCGGCUAACUACGUG